GCCUCUGGCUAUAGGAAAUUGUUAGUGGCAGACGGGUGAGUAAUGCGUAGGAAUCUACCUAGUAGUACGGAAUAGCCAUUAGAAAUGGUGGGUAAUACUGUAUAAUCCCCGAGGGGGAAAGAUUUAUCGCUAUUAGAUGAGCCUACGUUAGAUUAGCUAGUUGGUGAGGUAAUGGCUUACCAAGGCUAUGAUCUAUAGCUGGUCUGAGAGGACGAUCAGCCACACUGGAACUGAGAUACGGUCCAGACUCCUACGGGAGGCAGCAGUGGGGAAUAUUGGACAAUGGGCGAAAGCCUGAUCCAGCUAUGCCGCGUGAGUGAAGAAGGCCUUCGGGUUGUAAAACUCUUUCAAUAGGGAAGAUAAUGACGGUACCUAUAAA
RNAcentral lists this ribosomal RNA (379 nucleotides) under Ehrlichia canis. RNAcentral's name for it is "bacterial SSU rRNA". It matches the Rfam family "Bacterial small subunit ribosomal RNA", at positions 73 to 485 of the family's 1533-position model. The record is from RNAcentral. Lineage: Bacteria; Pseudomonadati; Pseudomonadota; Alphaproteobacteria; Rickettsiales; Anaplasmataceae.